GCAUUGUGUGUGUAUGUGAGGUGUGUGGGGGGGACAGAGGUUGUGUGCAUUGUGUGUGUGGGGAGAGGGGUUGUGUGCAUUGUGUACACAGCCAAAAAUCCACGGGUCCGUUUCAGGCCGUUGGUUGAAAACGGGCCGUUACGGGCCCGUGAACGGCCUGUAUACAGGAUGUAGCCUACCCACGUCCUGUAUACAGGCCGUUCUCACGGGCUGUAAACAGGACGUUAGCCCACAUCCUGUUUACAGCCCGUGGAUACGGGCCUGUAUCAGGGCGUAGCACCCACGUCCUGUAUACAGGCUGUUGCAGCUGUAGCUUAUGCGCAUGCGCUAGCUUGGGGCAGGAUGACGUCACCUGACUACAAAAAGAGAAUGAGACAGACAGCUCUGAGAAAAAAUCCUGCUGCUUGUCACAAGAGGAGCUGCUGGUCCAAAAAGACAACUUGAAGAGGACUAUACACUAUUAGUCUACCUGUGAACAAAAAAGGUUUGCACGUUGUUAUGGACUUUUGAAGUUGGAACACUGGUCAAUUUUACAAGUUAGAACAGUUACAGCUGUCAAGUAUGAGAGCUAGCUACUUCUCCAAACAGCUAGGUUCUACUGGAAGCUAUAACCUUUGACCAGACUCGCCCACCACCAAUAUUCAGCAGCUGCCGUUUUCAAUUUGCAUUGCACAAGUCUACCAACACUGCUCUACCUCUGAGCCACAGCUUGACUAGAAACACAGAGCAAGGAUUGAACUGCAGUGUUUCAGGCUCAUGAACAUGUAAUAAGUAGCUUAGACUGCUAGCUAGCUCAGGUCAAUAUGACAAUAACACAAAACAUAGUCUACAAACCUUUUUGCGUGCUGUAUUGCUAUUUUACUGUGUACAAAUUGUCAAGAUGAUUCAAAA
Long non-coding RNA from Halichondria panicea, 891 nucleotides. RefSeq lists it as uncharacterized. NCBI's taxonomy places the organism in Eukaryota, Metazoa, Porifera, Demospongiae, Suberitida, Halichondriidae. The transcript is spliced from 3 exons. The record is from RefSeq and is a predicted model, not a curated record.